UCAGGAAAUGUCCCAAAAGGCUUGGGAUUUGGAUAUGGGUAAUAAAACCAGGGAAUCAACCCUCUCCUCAUCCAAUUAACCCUUUCUUUUCGACCCUUAUGAACGAGAUCAAUAAUGGAAAUGAUCAAGACGGAGAAGGAAAUUAACAUACUAAGCAGUGCAUAAUGGGGCUUAUGCACAGAGGAUAACUGAUCAAAAGCAGCUGAUGUAAGCUCUAAGAUGAAGUUGGCGAUGAGGAAGAUCCU
This 245-nucleotide unclassified non-coding RNA is filed under the name Hevea brasiliensis (rubber tree). Lineage: Eukaryota; Viridiplantae; Streptophyta; Magnoliopsida; Malpighiales; Euphorbiaceae. The record is from RNAcentral.